Rhopilema esculentum is the source of this 3637-nucleotide non-coding RNA. The record is from RefSeq and is a predicted model, not a curated record. NCBI's taxonomy places the organism in Eukaryota, Metazoa, Cnidaria, Scyphozoa, Rhizostomeae, Rhizostomatidae.
AUUGCUGCAGAACCAUUUUUUAAAGUGAUAAAGGAUGUGCUGAUUAGAUGCGGGCUUUCACCAAAGAUGCCUACAGGCUGUACAUUUGAUGGAGCUUCAGCAAUGGUCAAACUGGGACGCCUGAUCAAUGAGUAUACAAAUGGGCAAUCAGUUUACAUUCACUGGCUCACUGCAAUGACAUGAUUAUCAGAGAUGCCAUCGCCAAAAGCUCACUGUUUGCAAAUGCAACGCUGAGGUGUCAGGAUCUUUAUGCGCUUGCAGGUGUCUCCCCUAAAGAAUCAUGCUUUUUGAAGAGUUGCAAACUGAUGAAGAUGACAACACCAAAAAAACGCAAAGGUUGCAAAAUUUUUCAGUGACUAGAUGGACCACAAGAGGGAGAGCGGCAAAGAUAACAUCGAAACAUAGUUGUUAUCUAUAAAAUCUCUGUCAAAACGUAGUUGUUAUCUACAAAAUCUUCUCGAUCAUUUUAGAAAUCGAUUCAGCCUCGAAUAUUUAAUAUGUUUACGAGAGUUUCAUGUCAAAAAGAAACCGUUGGCAGUUAGAUUAAAUAAAAAUGGACAUGUUGUUGCAUUGUUUGAGGAAAAACAACCUUCGGAUUUUAGUCGGUAAAAUUGGGAUUUUGACAGGUGGAUGAUGUUUUUUAAAUUUUCAAAAAUUGUCCUUCAUGUAAUUUUUAAAAACAUUCAAAAUAUUAAAAAGAUCUGCAGUUUAAUUUUUCUGUUCAUCCAGAAGAGGAUUUUCAGGAACAUAACAGAAGAAGAUUAAUCCCAAGAAAUUUUAAAAAAACAGAGACAAUUUUAGUCUGACAGAUGCAUUUUUAGCCAUUCUAAAAGGCUUUAUUUCAGAAAAAAUGUUUUCAAAUCGGACCCAACCAAAUACUUGGGAUGUGACUCUGUUAUUCUUAUUAUGAAUGAAAAGCAGGUGGUGGCUUUUGGUUCUCAAAAGGCAAGAAUAUUCUAGCACAAAACUUUCAAGUUAAAAUUCUUUACGUGCAUAUUUUUUUGUAAGAUUUAUAAAUUAAUAAUUGCAUUUUAAUAUUUAGCGAUAUUUCCUAUCUUUUUUAGUCAAAUAAAGCAGAGCCAACUUUUAUUAAUGCUUAGUAAUGCUUUUAGUUGUCCUGUAGUUCUCUUCAAACACUGGCAGUCAAACCGGAUGGACAAUUGGCACCUUAUGCCAUUUGUUUAUCUCAAUUUAUUCAUUUACUUAUUGUACAUUAUUUCCAUAAUUCAAAGUUUUGGCAAUGAUUUUUGAAACAGUGAUACUACCCUCAAUAAAAUUCCACCCUUAAAACGAAAAUAUAAUCCAACAUUCAAUUACGUUUUCAAGGGUUUGACUUUAUAAACUUCCUGUUGGCUAAAAAAUAUUCAAAAAAUUCUUACCGUCGCAGAUACAAAUCUUGCUUAAAUAUUUUAUAAAAUUUAUUAUAAUUAUAUUACUUAGCGAGCUAAAAAAAAUUUUCAAUGCUUCAAUACUCAGCACAAGCUGACUUAAUUUUAGAUGCCAACACCAAAGAAAGAGACGCUUACACAUACAAGAAAGAGCAAUAUCCCUUUAACCAUAAAUAUGGAAAAUUUUUUCAGAAAUUAGUUUCAUCAUAGACCAAAAUCAAAUAACUAGAAUGCAUCAAUGCACAAAAACUUAAACCCAAUUUCUGAAAUCUCUUUGCACCAACCUAUUAUUGUAUUUCAAAAAUGAAUUAUUUGCUGAAAAACUAUUCUUCAGCAAACGUUUCAUAUCUUCAAGUAAGAUUAAUGUUGUCUGCAAAUGGCUGACCAGCAGCUUGAAGCUAAUAGGGGUGAACAAGUUCUGUAAGUUUCUUGCAUUGUCCCUCCACCCCAAUGCAUAAAGACAAACCACAGUCUCUACCUAUCUGUUGUCAUAGCACUUUUAGUAUAAGAAAAAAGUAAAGUUUAAAAAACAAUGCCAAUAAACAAGAUAGAACAGAGAGCUUACAUGGUUUCAUUUGAAUUGCAAUCGCAGGCACACAAUUUUUUCUGAUGUGUUGAAAAAGAAAUAAUUGUGUUGACACUUCAUUGUUAACCAAUAGAAUUGUGAACAUGAAUUUUGAUUUUAUAAAGCAGACUCAGUAUACAUAAAAAAGAAGGCUGGCUGUUACAUUUUAUACAUUAGAAGGGUAUACUUCAAUUUCAGCUGAAGCUAUUCAAAGACCUGUAGCGAAAGUUCCUUAUUGGCAUGAGGGCUUCACAGUUGUUGGAUUGCCACAUGGAAUUCCAUUUUGUAAACCAUGUGACUAUGGAACAAAGCAGAGGGAAAAUAUCAUGUCUGCCAGUGGGGCAGGAAUCAAAGUCACCAGAAUUUGGUGAUCUACAAGCCAUCCUAACUCGUCAUAUAUAUCAAAAGGAGGCUAUGUAAACAGGUCAAGCUGUGUUUACAGCACUUGUUUCACAGAUACAGGAAGCGGAUGCUACAAAAUGGAAAAUGAUGGAGAAGCUAAAAACGAACCAUCUGGAACUUUCCGCCGACAGCUUGCACGACCUGAAUUGGGAUCAGUGGAAGUUCGGUGCUUAUGCAACAAACUGCUGCCGUCCCCAUUUCCACAACCAGGUGGACUUUUCCGGCCAAUAAUGAUGAUGACUCUAAUGAGAUUGUGAGUGUUUUGUAUGACAACGUUCUACCGAAGUAUAGUUUUGCUUACGAGCAAAGUCAAAGAGAGUCAAAGCAAAGAAGAUCGAGAAAAUACUUUAAGAAAAAGACCUCACAAACGGGAAACAUAGGCCUAGCCCAACAAACAGAGGCAGAGGAGCCUCGUUUUUUAGAAGUAGAUUGAAGGAUUGAAAAUCUUCCACCAGUGUGGAUUUCCAAAGCAGUGGAGAAGAAGCAGCAGAACCAGAAGAAGAUGGUAAUGUUUAUUUUAAAUUCACUUAAAGUAGUUACUUACAAUUAUAAUUGCAUUAUGAAAUAAGAGAAAGGUAUAAUUUGCUGCAAAAAACUUUGCAAUGGACAUUCUUUGUAAUAUUAGGGAAGUAAUCGCUCACUAAAGUCUCCACACUUGCUCAAAUUGUCAUACUAUUGCACACCUCCUGUAAAAAUAAAAAUUUCCGAGAAUUUCAAAGAAAAUCAAACUACCUUAAAGUUUGAAGAUAUACUUUUGAAUGUUUCUAAAGCAGUGGAAAGUCAAAGUUACCAAAUUAAAAGACAGUCCUCUUGGUUUCCAAAGUGUAGAAUUCUUCUUGUAUGGGAUUUAACAACAGUGUGACAAAGUAGUUAUAUAUCUUGGCAUGAAAGGUAGCCUGAUCAAACUGGAUAUUUUUUAUGAAUAUCCUCAAUAUAUAAUAAUAAAUAAUUUGUUUAAAGUUGGCGUACUAAAUGAACGGCUGAUAGCUAUAAAGAAGCUAAUUAAGGCCAACUAUCUAUAAAGAGUUAGUAUGAAAUAAAAAUAUAUGAUACAAUAUUAAAAAGGUUUAAGGUAUAAUGUUCUAAAUAAAACCUAACCCAGCAAUAAAUUUUUUACACAAUCUACAGUCGCAUUCUAUAGGGUGUGCUCUUAAUUCUUUUUUAAAUGUUGCCAAUGAUUGGGACUCUCUUAUACUGUGAGGUAGUGUUUGCCACAGUUUUUGACCUAAAUAUCUCACAGUUUCUAUACCAUAAGAAGUUGUCCUGGCUUUUGGAAUGCAAA